UGGGGAAUAUUGCACAAUGGGCGAAAGCCUGAUGCAGCGACGCCGCGUGAGUGAUGAAGGUCUUCGGAUUGUAAAGCUCUGUCUUUUGGGACGAUAAUGACGGUACCAAAGGAGGAAGCCACGGCUAACUACGUGCCAGCAGCCGCGGUAAUACGUAGGUGGCGAGCGUUGUCCGGAUUUACUGGGCGUAAAGGGUGCGUAGGCGGAUGUUUAAGUGAGAUGUGAAAUACCCGGGCUUAACUUGGGUGCUGCAUUUCAAACUGGAUAUCUAGAGUGCAGGAGAGGAGAAUGGAAUUCCUAGUGUAGCGGUGAAAUGCGUAGAGAUUAGGAAGAACACCAGUGGCGAAGGCGAUUCUCUGGACUGUAACUGACGCUGAGGCACGAAAGCGUGGGUAGCAAACAGGAUUAGAUACCCUGGUAGUCCACGCCGUAAACGAUGAGUACUAGGUGUAGGAGGUAUCGACCCCUUCUGUGCCGCAGUAAACACAUUAAGUACUCCGCCUGGGAAGUACGAUCGCAAGAUUAAA
This 527-nucleotide ribosomal RNA is filed under the name uncultured bacterium. RNAcentral's name for it is "partial 16S ribosomal RNA". It matches the Rfam family "Bacterial small subunit ribosomal RNA", at positions 355 to 898 of the family's 1533-position model. The record is from RNAcentral.